GGUACAGAGGGAUGCUACCGGGCGACCGGAUGCGGAUCUCGAAAGCCUGUCCCAGUUCGGACUGGAGUCUGCAACCCGACUCCACGAAGUUGAAUUCGCUAGUAAUCGCGCAUCAGCCAUGGCGCGGUGAAUACGUUCCCGGGCCUUGUACACACCGCCCGUCAAGCCAUGGGAGCCGGGGGCGCCUGAAGUCCGGGACCGCGAGGACCGGCCUAGGGCGAAACUGGUAACUGGGGCUAAGUCGUAACAAGGUAUC
Molecule: ribosomal RNA, 256 nt
Filed under: uncultured bacterium
Lineage: Bacteria
Description: partial 16S ribosomal RNA
Rfam family: Bacterial small subunit ribosomal RNA
Source: RNAcentral